This is a long non-coding RNA of Helianthus annuus (common sunflower), 1328 nucleotides long. RefSeq lists it as uncharacterized. Lineage: Eukaryota; Viridiplantae; Streptophyta; Magnoliopsida; Asterales; Asteraceae. The record is from RefSeq and is a predicted model, not a curated record. The transcript has 5 exons.
CCUCUUGAAAGCCCUAAUCAAGAACUCUUUUUGGUAUGUUCUUUGGCCUCCCAAAAUCACAACAAAUCUUCAAAAGCCCUAAUGGACAAUAGUUCAAUCCUAAAUGAUUUCCCCCAAGCUUGAUCCGGCUUCCAAUUUCAACUCCCCAUGAUUGAUUUUUCUUCUGUGAAUUUUGUUUCAUUUUCACCAAAUAUUUCCCUCCCUACCAAUCCCGCUUCCGAUUUCAAUCCUAAAUGAUUUCCUCUUAAAAGCCCUAAUCAGGAACUUUUUUAGGUAUCUUCUUUGGCCUCCCAAAAUCACAAAAAAUCUUCAAAAGCCCUAAUUAGAUCUCUUCAACAGAGCAUUUGAUUCCGAACUGCUCUCCUAAUCAAAUCUAUGCUCGCCCAAGAACAACAGCCAACCGAAUAGUACUAGUAACUCUCCUGACUUGAUCUAUUCAUGUUCACACGAUUCUGAUUUUGUUCUUACACAUCUCUCCAUAAAUUUUAGGCAGUGUUUUCAGCCAAAACCGGGACCUUGGCCAGUUUGAUUCUUGCUAUCGGAGCAGAUAGAUGAGAACCGGAGGUCGGACUAGAAACCGGUCGGUUGGACCAAAAAACCAGGAGGUUGGAUCGAAUUUUUAAUCAGUCGGUCUCCCUACCUCGAUUCCCUCACACGGUUCUAGCAUCCUCUCAGGAUUUGGUUAUGGCGGAAGGUUAUCGCUACACCCUUGUUGCUCAGUUAGAGUAUUCUCAUGAACCAUAUGUGGAUUCAUAACAUGGAUUUCUUUAGCAAGACGACGUCGUUGCCUCAUCACCCAACAACCCUCCUUCGCCGCCUCGUUUCCUUGAAAUUAUUUUUUCUCGUCUCAAGUGGAUCUAGUUAUUGCUAUAGCUAUAACUUGCUUUUCUUUGUUGCAGAGUAUUCUUGUGGACCCUCUAAAAUUCUAAGCUUGUCAAUCAUCUUAAGAGUAUAAUCAAGUUUAGAGGUGGUCCGAUAUUAGUUGCUGAGUACAUAGAGGAAGUGCUGAUAAAUCCCAAGGCUGGUUUAUAACCUCUCUAAAGUAAGCCAAAUGUUUGGAGAGACAAGCCAAACUGGGUCAAUCUGACGAUCUAGCGAAGGGCCGAAAUGAAAGCUGGGAGAGUUUUUCAUAGAACGAAAAAGGUUAUCUUGUUACAAGUGAGACAAAAGUGUUGUUUCUAGGAGUGAUGUAGGUUAUGUUACACUUGCUGCAUCAUUUGUAAAAAGCUUUUGAUUAAAAGUUUAUGUAUUUAAUAUGUAUAUCGAAAAGUUAUGUAUGGAUUUUAGUUUAUUAUUGUUAAUAUUAUUAAUUUGGUUUUUAUGUUCAA